RNAcentral lists this ribosomal RNA (708 nucleotides) under uncultured bacterium. RNAcentral's name for it is "bacterial SSU rRNA". It matches the Rfam family "Bacterial small subunit ribosomal RNA", at positions 8 to 683 of the family's 1533-position model. The record is from RNAcentral.
AGAGUUUGAUCCUGGCUCAGGACGAACGCUGGCGGCGUGCCUAAUACAUGCAAGUCGAACGAAGCUUUCUUUCACCGAAUGCUUGCAUUCACCGAAAGAAAACUUAGUGGCGAACGGGUGAGUAACACGUAGGCAACCUGCCCAAAAGAGGGGGAUAACACUUGGAAACAGGUGCUAAUACCGCAUAACCAUGAACACCGCAUGAUGUUCAUGUAAAAGACGGCUUUUGCUGUCACUUUUGGAUGGGCCUGCGGCGUAUUAACUUGUUGGUGGGGUAACGGCCUACCAAGGUGAUGAUACGUAGCCGAACUGAGAGGUUGAUCGGCCACAUUGGGACUGAGACACGGCCCAAACUCCUACGGGAGGCAGCAGUAGGGAAUCUUCCACAAUGGACGAAAGUCUGAUGGAGCAACGCCGCGUGGAUGAAGAAGGCCUUCGGGUCGUAAAAUUCUGUUGUCAGAGAAGAACGUGCGUGAGAGUAACUGUUCACGUAUUGACGGUAUCUGACCAGAAAGCCACGGCUAACUACGUGCCAGCAGCCGCGGUAAUACGUAGGUGGCGAGCGUUGUCCGGAUUUAUUGGGCGUAAAGGGAACGCAGGCGGUCUUUUAAGUCUGAUGUGAAAGCCUUCGGCUUAACCGAAGUAGUGCAUUGGAAACUGGAAGACUUGAGUGCAGAAGAGGAGAGUGGAACUCCAUGUGUAGCGGUG